Molecule: long non-coding RNA, 188 nt
Organism: Brassica oleracea var. oleracea
Lineage: Eukaryota; Viridiplantae; Streptophyta; Magnoliopsida; Brassicales; Brassicaceae
Exons: 2
Source: RefSeq, a predicted model, not a curated record
GGCAAGGAAUAUGAAGAGUUUAUGGGUUUGGACAUGGUUUUUUCGAUGAGAAGGCUGUAGGCACUAAUAUUUUCAGACAACGUUGGUCCAAGGUUUAUUGGGGAUCAUAGACUCAACACUUUCAAGCGCCUGCUGAGUUGUUGAGGGAAGAGAGAAUCUACUACUAAUACUGACGUGGAUUUGCAGGG